CAGAUUCAUUCUGGCAAAGAGAAACAUUUUCGGGAGAGUAGUCGUUUUUAAGUAUAUCAGACAAAAUCUGAUUUGUUAGAUAACCAUUCGUUUUGAAAUAUUUCAAUAAUUUUGCAGGAAAUUACGUACCUUUGCAGACAGCAUAGCCAAAGUAUCAGUUGGCUGAAAUUCUGCACGGGCCAUCCCCCGUUUGCUGCGAAAGCGCAAAAUCUUUAAACUGUUAGUAACAAUAUUUAAAACGAUUGCUUUGCAUACCAUUUCGAAGCAAGAGUAAAGGUGAAGGAUGAGCAAACUAAGCUUACGACUAUGUAAGCUAU
Molecule: non-coding RNA, 317 nt
Organism: Schizosaccharomyces pombe (fission yeast)
Lineage: Eukaryota; Fungi; Ascomycota; Schizosaccharomycetes; Schizosaccharomycetales; Schizosaccharomycetaceae
Source: the annotation of a GenBank genome assembly